CAUUUGCCUUAUAAUUGAAGGCUAGUAUGAAUGGUUUGACAAGAAUGUAGCUGUCUCUUUGUAAUUAAACAGAAUUUUAUUUAUAGGUGAAGAAGCCUAUAUUAAAUUAAAAGACAAGAAGACCCUAUCGAGCUUGAAAGAAACUAAUAGAUUAAACAAUUAAUGAUAUCAGAAAAUUAACUAUUAGAAAUUUUAGUUGGGGCGACUGAGGAACAAAAAAAGCUUCCUUUAAAAAAUUAAAAACUAAGCAAGUAUUGAUCCAAAACAUUUUGAUUAAAGGAAUUAGUUACCGUAGGGAUAACAGCAUUAUCUUUUUUAAGAGCUCUUAUCGAAAAAAAGGUUUGUGACCUCGAUGUUGGACCAGAAUAUCCUAAAGAUGCAGCAGUCUUUAAGGGUUGGUCUGUUCGACCAUUAAAAUUCU
RNAcentral lists this ribosomal RNA (421 nucleotides) under Buccinum miyauchii. RNAcentral describes it as "partial 16S rRNA". It matches the Rfam family "Bacterial large subunit ribosomal RNA", at positions 1966 to 2597 of the family's 2925-position model. Lineage: Eukaryota; Metazoa; Mollusca; Gastropoda; Neogastropoda; Buccinidae. The record is from RNAcentral.